Molecule: ribosomal RNA, 425 nt
Filed under: uncultured bacterium
Lineage: Bacteria
Description: partial 16S ribosomal RNA
Rfam family: Bacterial small subunit ribosomal RNA
Source: RNAcentral
GUGGGGAAUCUUGCGCAAUGGGCGAAAGCCUGACGCAGCCAUGCCGCGUGAAUGAUGAAGGUCUUAGGAUUGUAAAAUUCUUUCACCGGGGACGAUAAUGACGGUACCCGGAGAAGAAGCCCCGGCUAACUUCGUGCCAGCAGCCGCGGUAAUACGAAGGGGGCUAGCGUUGCUCGGAAUUACUGGGCGUAAAGGGCGCGUAGGCGGAUCGUUAAGUCAGGGGUGAAAUCCCAGAGUUCAACUCUGGAACUGCCCUUGAUACUGGCGAUCUUGAGUGUGAGAGAGGUAUGUGGAACUCCGAGUGUAGAGGUGAAAUUCGUAGAUAUUCGGAAGAACACCAGUGGCGAAGGCGACAUACUGGCUCAUUACUGACGCUGAGGCGCGAAAGCGUGGGGAGCAAACAGGAUUAGAAACCCUUGUAGUCC